UGGGCCUCUGAUUGAGAUUGC
RNAcentral lists this microRNA (21 nucleotides) under Pristionchus pacificus. Its description in RNAcentral is "ppc-miR-8298-3p". Lineage: Eukaryota; Metazoa; Nematoda; Chromadorea; Rhabditida; Neodiplogasteridae. The record is from miRBase by way of RNAcentral.